GACCACACGAAGCUGGAAUCGCUAGUAAUCGCGAAUCAGAAUGUCGCGGUGAAUACGUUCCCGGGUCUUGUACACACCGCCCGUCACACCAUGGGAGUCAGCAACGCCCGAAGUCAGUGACCUAACCGAAAGGGAGGAGCUGCCGAAGGCGGGGCCGGUAACUGGGGUGAAGUCGUAACAAGGUACC
RNAcentral lists this ribosomal RNA (187 nucleotides) under uncultured bacterium. RNAcentral describes it as "partial 16S ribosomal RNA". It matches the Rfam family "Bacterial small subunit ribosomal RNA", at positions 1314 to 1500 of the family's 1533-position model. The record is from RNAcentral.